GCCGUACCUAGCCCGAACCAACCACAACAAAACCACCAUCACCGGAUUAAUCAAAACAUUUACCCUUAAAAAGUAUAGGAGAUAGAAAGUCCAAUCGGCGCAAUAGAGAAAGUACCGCAAGGGAAUGCUGAAAGAAACCACCAAAGCAACAAACAGCAAAGCUUACCCCUUGUACCUUUCGCAUAAUGAUUUAACUAGACUGACUUAGCAAAGAGAUACUUAAGUUAAUGACCCCGAAACCAGACGAGCUAUUUACAAGCAGCCUAACAGGGCAAACUCAUCUAUGUGGCAAAAUAGUGAGAAGACUUAUAAAUAGAGGUGACACGCCUACCGAGCCUGGUGAUAGCUGGUUGUCCAGUAAAAGAACCUUAGUUCAAACUUAAGCCUACCCAAAACACCCACAAUUAUUCCGUAGACUUAAGAACUAGUCUAAAAAGGGACAGCUUUUUAGACACAGGCUACAACCUUUACUAGAGAGUAAAAAAACCCAAACCCGUCCCAUAGUGGGCCAAAGAGCAGCCACCAAUAAAGAAAGCGUUCAAGCUCAACAACCUACCAAGAACUAAUAAUUCAACUCCUAGAGUAAACCUGGACCAUUCUAUAGCAGCAUAGAAGAGACAAUGUUAAUAUGAGUAACAAGAAAUAUUUUCUCCCCGCACAAGUGUAUAUCACGAACGAAUGCCCACUGAUAGUUAACGCACAUGAACCUGGCACAAACAGCAAGCCUUUCAUCCACCUAACCGUUAACCCAACACAGGAGUGCCUCAGGGAAAGAUUAAAAGGAGCAAAAGGAACUCGGCAAGCACAAACCCCGCCUGUUUACCAAAAACAUCACCUCUAGCAUCCAAAGUAUUAGAGGCACUGCCUGCCCAGUGACAUAUACGUUCAACGGCCGCGGUAUCCUAACCGUGCAAAGGUAGCACAAUCACUUGUUCCCUAAAUAGGGACUUGUAUGAAUGGCCACACGAGGGUUUCACUGUCUCUUUCUCCCAAUCCGUGAAAUUGACCUCCCCGUGAAGAGGCGGGGAUGCCACGACAAGACGAGAAGACCCUAUGGAGCUUCAAUUAACCAGCCUAAGAACACGCCCCUCUCCUCCCAAGGGACUCAAAACAACACCCAACUAGGCUGGCAAUUUAGGUUGGGGCGACCUCGGAGUAUAAAAAACCCUCCAAGCAGCUACAAGCUCAGACUUACCAGUCAAAGCCACAUGAACCACCACGAUCCAAGGCCUUUGAUCAACGAAACAAGUUACCCUAGGGAUAACAGCGCAAUCCUAUUCAAGAGUCCAUAUCGACAAUUAGGGUUUACGACCUCGAUGUUGGAUCAGGACAUCCCGAUGGUGCAGCAGCUAUCAACGGUUCGUUUGUUCAACGAUUAAAGUCCUACGUGAUCUGAGUUCAGACCGGAGCAAUCCAGGUCGGUUUCUAUCUAUCCUAACGCCUCUCCCAGUACGAAAGGACAAGAGAAGCGGGGCCCCCCUGAAACAAGCGCCCUCUACACAAACAACGGAUGACAAAACUCUCAACCCGACAUGUAGUAAACAAACCCGCCCUAAACCAGGGCCCA
Molecule: ribosomal RNA, 1567 nt
Filed under: Desmodus rotundus (common vampire bat)
Lineage: Eukaryota; Metazoa; Chordata; Mammalia; Chiroptera; Phyllostomidae
Description: 16S ribosomal RNA
Rfam family: Bacterial large subunit ribosomal RNA
Source: RNAcentral